AUUGAACGCUGGCGGCAGGCCUUACACAUGCAAGUCGAGCGGUAGAGAGGUGCUUGCAUCUCUUGAGAGCGGCGGACGGGUGAGUAAUGCCUAGGAAUCUGCCUAGUGGUGGGGGAUAACGUUCGGAAACGGACGCUAAUACCGCAUACGUCCUACGGGAGAAAGCGGGGGAUCUUCGGGCCUUGCGCUAUCAGAUGAGCCUAGGUCGGAUUAGCUAGUAGGUGAGGUAAUGGCUCACCUAGGCGACGAUCCGUAACUGGUCUGAGAGGAUGAUCAGUCACACUGGAACUGAGACACGGUCCAGACUCCUACGGGAGGCAGCAGUGGGGAAUAUUGGACAAUGGGCGAAAGCCUGAUCCAGCCAUGCCGCGUGUGUGAAGAAGGUCUUCGGAUUGUAAAGCACUUUAAGUUGGGUAGGAAGGGCGAGUAAGUUAAUACCUUGCUGUUUGACGUUACCAACAGAAUAAGCACCGGCUAACUU
This 481-nucleotide ribosomal RNA is filed under the name uncultured bacterium. Its description in RNAcentral is "bacterial SSU rRNA". It matches the Rfam family "Bacterial small subunit ribosomal RNA", at positions 30 to 503 of the family's 1533-position model. The record is from RNAcentral.